GGGGGGGGGGGGGGGGGGCAA
This 21-nucleotide microRNA is filed under the name Corchorus olitorius. Its description in RNAcentral is "hsa-miR-1234-". Lineage: Eukaryota; Viridiplantae; Streptophyta; Magnoliopsida; Malvales; Malvaceae. The record is from RNAcentral.